This is a long non-coding RNA of Aricia agestis (brown argus), 134 nucleotides long. RefSeq lists it as uncharacterized. The record is from RefSeq and is a predicted model, not a curated record. NCBI's taxonomy places the organism in Eukaryota, Metazoa, Arthropoda, Insecta, Lepidoptera, Lycaenidae. The transcript has 3 exons.
ACCCGAAAAGCUCGAAAAACCCGGGUUCCAUUUUUGAAGCCCGGGUUUUUUCGUGAGCCCAAAAACCCGGGUUUUCCCGGGUUUUCGAGUUUCGGGAAAACCCGGUCUCGAUGCCCUAAUUCGUAACAAAUGUA